AUUUCGCUUCCAGUCAUGGAGAAUAGCGAAGGCGUGAAUCGGAGGCCCUUAUGGGAGCUGAGCCCCCCCAAAAAAGGAGGCGGCCGAGGCCAAACGAAUGGCGCUGCGGGCCCGGAAGGAGGCCGGGGAGGCCAGGCCCGCCCCCCGCCUCCUCCGGGCCCGAUUAUUCGCGGGGCUGGGCAACGACGAGGGCGGCGGCGGGCGCAGCGAGGGCGGGAGGAGGCCUCCCCCGGCGCGGCCCCAGAGGCAGGGCCGCCUCCAGCCCCUCCUGGCCAGACCAUGGCCGGAGGGGCCGCUGCCCUGCCUCGGGAGCGCCGGGGCGAAGGCGGGCCCCCGCGCCGCCCCCCAGCAGAGGCCCCUGAGGCGGCAGGGCGCGGCCCGGCCUCUGCUGGGGAGGCGCGGGGAGGGCGGGGGGGAGGCGGAGGGGCCGCUGCCCGCCCUGCUCCUCUUCCACCCGGCGCCCCCUCCGCGCCCUCCCCCGCGCCGGCCCGCCGCCCCUCCCGCCCGGAACACCAGACAACACCUCUGCUUCCCGCCGCUGCCCUCGCGCCUGCCCAGCCCACCGCGAACCCCCUGCAACACGCCCACCCAGGAGGACGAGUGAUGAGUUUAUCUCCGGCACCAUUAUCCCUCUUAAUCAAAGCUGCUCCCAUCCUCACAGAAGAGAUGUACGGGGACAUCCAGCCUGCAGCAUGGGAACUGUUACUUAGCAUGGAUGAGCACAUGGCUGGUGCAGCAGCUGCCAUGUUCCUUCUGUGUGCUGUGAAAGUGCCCGAGGCAGUGUCAGAUAUGCUGAUGUCUGAAUUUAAUCACCCCGAGGCAGUGCAGAGGUUGAAUGCUAUACUCAAGUUCCACACCCUCUGGAGAUUUAGGUAUCAGGUCUGGCCACGGAUGGAGGAAGGAGCUCAGCAGAUCUUUAAGAUUCCUCCACCUAGCAUCAACUUCACCCUGCCAUCCCCAGUACUGGGAAUGCCCUCUGUCCCCAUGUUUGACCCACCAUGGGUACCACUAUGUGGUGGAAGUGUGCAGGACACUAUUAAUGAAGAUCAAUCUAAGUCAUUUUCAGCCCGGGCAGUGUCACGCUCCCAUCAGUGUGCAGAGCACAUUCUGAAGAAUCUGCAGCAAGAAGAAGAGAAAAAACGUCUGGGUCGAGAAGCUAGUCUGAUCACUGCCAUCCCCAUCACUCAGGAAGCUUGUUAUGAGCCCACCUGUUCCCCAAACUCGGAACAGGAGGAAGAAGUAGAAGAAGUUGUUAACCUGGCAUCUCGUCGUCUCUCUGUGAGUCCAUCAUGCACUUCGAGUACCUCUCACAGGAACUACUCUUUUCGGCGUGGCUCAGUUUGGUCAGUGCGUUCAGCAGUCAGUGCUGAAGAUGAGGAACACACAACAGAGCAUACACCAAAUCAUCAUGUGCCCCAGCCUCCACAAGCGGUCUUCCCGGCUUGUAUCUGUGCAGCUGUGCUUCCCAUUGUUCACCUGAUGGAAGAUGGAGAAGUCCGGGAGGAUGGUGUCGCAGUGAGUGCAGUAGCUCAGCAAGUCCUAUGGAACUGUCUCAUUGAAGAUCCAUCUACAGUUCUUCGACAUUUUCUGGAGAAGCUUACGAUCAGCAAUCGGCAGGAUGAGUUGAUGUAUAUGCUCAGGAAACUUCUGCUUAACAUUGGAGACUUCCCUGCUCAGACAUCCCAUAUCCUCUUUAACUACUUGGUGGGAUUGAUCAUGUAUUUUGUGCGCACACCAUGUGAAUGGGGCAUGGAUGCUAUUUCAGCAACACUGACCUUCCUUUGGGAAGUUGUUGGCUAUGUGGAAGGACUUUUCUUCAAGGACCUCAAACAGACUAUGAAGAAGGAACAAUGUGAAGUGAAGCUGUUGGUGACUGCCUCCAUGCCAGAAACCUCCAUACGGACAAUGACUCUGCACGCCUUGAAACCUCCUCUGCUAAAACGUUAAUGGACAUUGGAACUCGGAGCAUCUUUACUUCUGAUCAUGACAUCUUUCGGCAAAGUGUGAGGAAGUUCUUUCAGGAGGCUGUAGUUCCAUAUCAUGCAGAGUGGGAGAAGGCAGGACAGGUGAGCAGAGAGCUUUGGGAAAAAGCUGGGCAACAGGGCUUGCUGGGUGUCAAUAUAUCUGAAGAACAUGGUGGCAUUGGAGGGGAUCUCUGCUCUACAGCAGUUGUUUGGGAAGAGCA
Molecule: RNA transcript, 2185 nt
Organism: Anolis carolinensis (green anole)
Lineage: Eukaryota; Metazoa; Chordata; Lepidosauria; Squamata; Anolidae
Gene: acadl
Gene name: acyl-CoA dehydrogenase long chain
Exons: 12
Source: RefSeq, a predicted model, not a curated record